CCUACGGCGUGCAGCAGUGGGGAAUAUUGGACAAUGGGCGAAAGCCUGAUCCAGCCAUGCCGCGGGUGUGAAGAAGGCCUUCGGGUGGUAAAGCACUUUCAGUGGGGAAGAAAGCCUUGGGGCUAAUACCCUCGAGGAAGGACAUCACCCACAGAAGAAGCACCGGCUAACUCCGUGCCAGCAGCCGCGGUAAUACGGAGGGUGCGAGCGUUAAUCGGAAUUACUGGGCGUAAAGCGCGCGUAGGCGGUCUGAUAAGCCGGUUGUGAAAGCCCCGGGCUCAACCUGGGAACGGCAUCCGGAACUGUCAGGCUAGAGUGCAGGAGAGGAAGGUAGAAUUCCCGGUGUAGCGGUGAAAUGCGUAGAGAUCGGGAGGAAUACCAGUGGCGAAGGCGGCCUUCUGGACUGACACUGACGCUGAGGUGCGAAAGCGUGGGUAGCAAACAGGAUUAGAUACCCUAGUAGUC
RNAcentral lists this ribosomal RNA (465 nucleotides) under Vreelandella stevensii. Its description in RNAcentral is "partial 16S ribosomal RNA". It matches the Rfam family "Bacterial small subunit ribosomal RNA", at positions 338 to 795 of the family's 1533-position model. Lineage: Bacteria; Pseudomonadati; Pseudomonadota; Gammaproteobacteria; Oceanospirillales; Halomonadaceae. The record is from RNAcentral.